UUACCUGAUUCUUCGGAUGAAGGUCUGGUGACUGAGUGGCGGACGGGUGAGUAACGCGUGGGUAACCUGCCCUGUACAGGGGGAUAACAGUUGGAAACGGCUGCUAAUACCGCAUAAGCGCACAGUACCGCAUGGUACCGUGUGAAAAACUCCGGUGGUAUGAGAUGGACCCGCGUCUGAUUAGCUAGUUGGUGGGGUAACGGCCUACCAAGGCGACGAUCAGUAGCCGACCUGAGAGGGUGACCGGCCACAUUGGGACUGAGACACGGCCCAGACUCC
This 279-nucleotide ribosomal RNA is filed under the name uncultured Lachnospiraceae bacterium. Its description in RNAcentral is "partial 16S ribosomal RNA". It matches the Rfam family "Bacterial small subunit ribosomal RNA", at positions 64 to 339 of the family's 1533-position model. Lineage: Bacteria; Bacillati; Bacillota; Clostridia; Lachnospirales; Lachnospiraceae. The record is from RNAcentral.